GAAUGAGAAGCGAAAAUUGCAUUCAGUUUCGACCUGAAAAAUUGGUGAACAAUUAUAACACCCUCAUUCU
This 70-nucleotide transfer RNA is filed under the name Petamella prosternalis. RNAcentral describes it as "tRNA-Arg". The record is from RNAcentral. Lineage: Eukaryota; Metazoa; Arthropoda; Insecta; Orthoptera; Acrididae.